AACGCACCUUGCGCCCCUUGGUACUCCGAGGGGCAUGCCUGUUUGAGUGUCGUUGAAAAUAUCUCAACCUGACCAUUUUACUCUGGCUCGGGCUUGGAAUUUGGAGAGUGCCGGCAGGACUCGGCUCCUCUGAAAGUCAUUAGUGAACAACGCUAGUUCUGCGUCGCGGCAUUGAUAGAUCUAUUUGUCUAUGCCAUUUGGCCACAAUUGGUGUGUUUGCUUAUAACGUAACGUGAUCCUCUGGAUCUUUCUACAACAAUCACCUCAAAUCAGGUAGGACUACCCGCUGAACUUAA
Molecule: unclassified non-coding RNA, 296 nt
Filed under: uncultured fungus
Lineage: Eukaryota; Fungi
Description: sequence contains ITS2
Rfam family: 5.8S ribosomal RNA (bases 1-52)
Source: RNAcentral